This 84-nucleotide transfer RNA is filed under the name Kiritimatiella glycovorans. It matches the Rfam family "tRNA". Rfam says of the family: Transfer RNA (tRNA) molecules are approximately 80 nucleotides in length. Lineage: Bacteria; Pseudomonadati; Kiritimatiellota; Kiritimatiellia; Kiritimatiellales; Kiritimatiellaceae. The record is from Rfam by way of RNAcentral.
GCACCCGUGGCGGAAUUGGUAGACGCGCAAGAUUCAGGAUCUUGUGGCCAUACGGUCGUGGAGGUUCGAAUCCUCUCGGGUGCA